GUUAACAAUCCAUCUGUCUAUUCUAAAAACGUAAGUAAAUUUUCUUUAUUAAAAAAUUCAUGGUAAAAAUUUUUUAGUUCAUUUUAUUGUGAAACAAAAUGUUGGGUAUAAAUUAGUUAAUCUACAGCCGGUAUAUAUUUUUGCACCUUACCAGACUACCAGCAUAUCAACACCUCGAAUAUGAACCUGGUGUAUGGAGUUCCAAAGUUCUACAAUAGAUGUCUCCUCAAGCCAGUUUUUCAACCUUCUGAAGUAAAAAAAAGUUUUUUAUACUUCCGAUUUAAUAGUCCAAGCGGUAAUGGCUGCGACGCUACUCGCCGGAAUUUGAUAAAAACACAAUUAUACCAGAUAUAUUCUGUAGCGUUGCAGUACUUGAAUUUAUACAGUGUAUUAGUGGAUAUAAAUUUAAAAUAUACAUUUUAAUUUUUCGAUAACUAUAUCGCAGUUGCAAACAUCCCUCAGCCAUUUGACGUGGUGAACGAAAACUACAUUUUGACAUUUGCUACGUGUACAUACAUUCUCAAACGAUAAGUUUGCAAAUUUUACUUUUCAAUAUUAUUAUAAAUGGACUGAUUCCACUCAUGCAAGAAGAUGCUCUUUUUAAAGAUACUUAUAGAAAUAUCAAUUACGCUUGUAGCUUUUUUAAAGGUACAAAGGUCGGAAAGCCUGACGAAUACGAUUUAGAUUUGAGAAUGCGUUUACCAUUAAACUAUCCGACGUUAAAGGUUAAACAAAAUCACGAAAAUUAUGGCUAUGUAAAAGUAAAAGUGGAAGAUGAUAGUAAAGUAAUAGUAAGAUUACCAAAAUGGAAAACUCACAGCAAAAUUUUAAAUGAAUGGUUGGAUAAUAAAGGAUAUUUAGACAAAAAUAAAUUUCGACAGUGGAUGGAAAAAGUUAUGUCAAAAACCUAUGAUCGUCUUAUAAAAGUUGAUAAGGAUUAUGAACUCACUGUAGAAGAUAAAACAUACGUUUUAAAGCAAUACAAAAAAAGUGGACCUGCAUUCACAAUUUAUGUUCAACCUAAAGAUGAAUCAGAAGCCGAUCAUAUCAUGAAUGUUGAUUUGGUACCCUGUUUAGAAUUCGAAGACAUAACAUUAGAUGGCUACAAACAAAUUUCGUAUAUGACUAACAAUAUAAUAAUUGUUGCUAAACCGUCAAAUGAACCUGAUGGUCAUCGCUUAUAGAGGCUAAGUUUUUAUGAACAAGAAAAAAAAAUGUUACGGGAAAACGAAGCUGGAAAGUUAAAGCCAAUAAUAAGAUUAAUCAAGAAACUGCGUGACAAAUUAGAAUGGAAAAAAUUAGCUAGUUAUUACAUAGAAACGUUAUUCUUGCACGAGCUAGAUGCACGAAAAGCUGAAAAUGACAUAGACUUUUUUAUAGAGCACCAAAAACAUCUUUAUUUAUAUACAUGUUAGAGAAAUUGCGUGAAGCAAUUUCCUUGAAAAAAUUGCCAUAUUUUUGGCAUGAAAAGUAUAAUUUAUUUUCUAAUAUGACCGACAAAAUGACAGAAAAUUAUGCAAAUCGUUUGAAAUCGAUUCUAAACCUUAUUCAAAAAAAUAUUUAUAUCAACAGAUUCAUUAUUGCAGAGCAAAUGUUAUCUGAUUCUGAAGUCUCAGCAUUGCAAACGAUUGUUCUCUCCGGAAUAGACCAGAUGAAAGAAGGAAAUGCUGAAAAUGUUGCUGAUUUGACAACAUGUAUAGAAGAUCUUGAUAUUAGCGGUUCCCAAAAGGCAGAUAUAUCAGAAGUUGAAUCAAUCGACGUAAUGAAUUCUGCAGAAACACCAAAUGCUGAAUUCGAUACUGUCGAUUCACCAAAUCAGGAUAUAGGAAACACUACUGCAGAACCAACAACUAUUAAAAGUCGAAUUGAAUUUCUUUGCGAAGAAUUGACUGCACUUUCAAAUCUGAAAAAUGAAAUUUUCGAAGAAGAGAAAGAGAAACUACGCAAAUCGUGCAUGUCGUUAUAUAUUACGUUAUCUACCCGCAAGCAAAAAAAUUGAAGACAUUCGCAAUUCAACAUAACACAAAAUUAUUUUGUAAAAUAUGUGAUUCACCUGUGCGAUAUAUUUCUUUGGAUCAAUAUUAUACUUUUUUAUACGUCAAAACAUAAAAAAUAACGUUUUACACCCAUGAUAUAACUCGUAAAUAAAAUUUUUCGC
Molecule: RNA transcript, 2158 nt
Organism: Nasonia vitripennis (jewel wasp)
Lineage: Eukaryota; Metazoa; Arthropoda; Insecta; Hymenoptera; Pteromalidae
Exons: 11
Source: RefSeq, a predicted model, not a curated record